RNAcentral lists this ribosomal RNA (305 nucleotides) under uncultured bacterium. Its description in RNAcentral is "bacterial SSU rRNA". It matches the Rfam family "Bacterial small subunit ribosomal RNA", at positions 336 to 634 of the family's 1533-position model. The record is from RNAcentral.
CUCCUACGGGGGGCAGCAGUGGGGAAUAUUGCGCAAUGGGCGAAAGCCUGACGCAGCGACGCCGCGUGAGGGAUGAAGGUCUUCGGAUCGUAAACCUCUGUCAGCAGGGAAGAACGGUCACUGUGCUAAUCAGCAGUGAAUUGACGGUACCUGCAAAGGAAGCACCGGCUAACUCCGUGCCAGCAGCCGCGGUAAUACGGAGGGUGCGAGCGUUAAUCGGAAUUACUGGGCGUAAAGCGCUCGUAGGCGGUAUGUCAAGUCAGCGGUAAAAAUGCGGUGCUCAACGCCGUACAGCCGUUGAAACU